RNAcentral lists this small RNA (576 nucleotides) under Pan troglodytes (chimpanzee). RNAcentral's name for it is "processed transcript". The record is from RNAcentral. Lineage: Eukaryota; Metazoa; Chordata; Mammalia; Primates; Hominidae.
AGCACAGACUUGUGGCAGCCCUCUUCUAUGCCUGAGGGAUAUAGGCGUGAACAAGACAGAUAAGUCCUUGUUCUUACGGGACUUAAUUUUAGAGGGGGUGGUAGACAAUGCACGUGUAAGAAAAUAGCAAAGUCUGCCCAGAACAAUCUGACAAAGGCAGUAGAUGCUUUUAGUAAGUAUUUUCUGUAUCUGAAAUGCAAGAACUGUUCAGGAACAACUUCGGCAUUUGCCUUUCCCCUAUUCCCUGGUAACUUUGGAUUGAUGACACCCCAGGGUUUGCAUUUUUCCAGAAAAGUCUUUUAAGUUAUGUGUCACCAAGGAGAUGCUCCUUCUUAGUAUUACAACUGCUUAUACAGGUCUGGAAUUAACUUUCUUCUCUGGUGUAUAUGGAACCUGUAUUGGUGCUACAAAUAAAUUUGGAGCAGAAGAGAAAAGCCUUAUUGGACUUUCUGGCAUUUUCAUCGGCAUUGGAGAAAUUUUAGGUGGAAGCCUCUUCGGCCUGCUGAGCAAGAACAAUCGUUUUGGUAGAAAUCCAGUUGUGCUGUUGGGCAUCCUGGUGCACUUCAUAGCUUUUUA